AAUUUUAUAGUUUAUAAAAAAUAUUAAAUUGCAAAUUUAAAGAAAAUUUUUGAAUAUUUAAGAUUU
This 66-nucleotide transfer RNA is filed under the name Parapolybia nodosa. Its description in RNAcentral is "tRNA-Cys". The record is from RNAcentral. Lineage: Eukaryota; Metazoa; Arthropoda; Insecta; Hymenoptera; Vespidae.